This 253-nucleotide ribosomal RNA is filed under the name uncultured bacterium. RNAcentral describes it as "partial 16S ribosomal RNA". It matches the Rfam family "Bacterial small subunit ribosomal RNA", at positions 524 to 776 of the family's 1533-position model. The record is from RNAcentral.
UACGUAGGGUGCGAGCGUUGUCCGGAAUUAUUGGGCGUAAAGGGCUCGUAGGCGGUUUGUCGCGUCGGGAGUGAAAACCUUGGGCUUAACUCAGGGCUUGCUUUCGAUACGGGCAGACUAGAGGUAUGCAGGGGAGAACGGAAUUCCUGGUGUAGCGGUGAAAUGCGCAGAUAUCAGGAGGAAUACCGAUGGCGAAGGCAGGUCUCUGGGCUGAUACUGACGCUCAUGCACGAAAGCGUGGGGAGCAAACAGG